UGGGGAAUAUUGCACAAUGGGCGAAAGCCUGAUGCAGCAACGCCGCGUGAGUGAUGAAGGCCUUCGGGUUGUAAAGCUCUGUCUUUUGGGACGAUAAUGACGGUACCAAAGGAGGAAGCCACGGCUAACUACGUGCCAGCAGCCGCGGUAAUACGUAGGUGGCAAGCGUUGUCCGGAUUUACUGGGCGUAAAGGAUGCGUAGGCGGAUUUUUAAGUGAGAUGUGAAAACCCUAAGCUUAACUUGGGGACUGCAUUUCAUACUGGAAAUCUAGAGUGCGGGAGAGGAGAAUGGAAUUCCUAGUGUAGCGGUGAAAUGCGUAGAGAUUAGGAAGAACACCAGUGGCGAAGGCGAUUCUCUGGACCGUAACUGACGCUGAGGCAUGAAAAGCGUGGGUAGCAAACAGGAUUAGAUACCCUGGUAGUCCACGCCGUAAACGAUGAGUACUAGGUGUAGGAGGUAUCGACCCCUUCUGUGCCGCAGUUAACACAAUAAGUACUCCGCCUGGGGAAGUACGAUCGCAAGAUUAAAAACUUAAAGGAAUUGACGGGGGUCAUAGCUGUUUUCCU
RNAcentral lists this ribosomal RNA (567 nucleotides) under uncultured bacterium. Its description in RNAcentral is "partial 16S ribosomal RNA". It matches the Rfam family "Bacterial small subunit ribosomal RNA", at positions 355 to 939 of the family's 1533-position model. The record is from RNAcentral.